This is an RNA transcript of Melozone crissalis (California towhee), 1340 nucleotides long. RefSeq lists it as uncharacterized. Lineage: Eukaryota; Metazoa; Chordata; Aves; Passeriformes; Passerellidae. The record is from RefSeq and is a predicted model, not a curated record. The transcript is spliced from 7 exons.
CUGCUCCGCGGCGCAAUGGCGGCCGGUGGCAGGGCUCCGCUGCCCGGCCUGAGCCCCAUGAGGGGACAGAGCGCUGGCACAGCCGCCUCAGCCCGGGUCACCCUGGCCCUGCCCGGGCCCGCGUCCCCCGGAGCGCGCCCUGCAGCGCAGAACGCGGCCUCGGAGCCAGGAGCGGGGCCAAUGGCCUUGGCUCGGCAGCGGCGCCGGGAGGCGGCGGGCGGUGCCCUCAGGGCAGGAAAAAUCAUCCAACUCCUCCCAUCUUUGCCAGAAGCUUUGGUGUUUAGGCAGCCAAAGGCAAGAGGCCUCAGCACCAGGGCUCUGUCCUGGAGGGCUCUGCUCCUGCCCACGCUGUGGGUGAGCCAGGGCUGGCACAGGGAAUCGUGCAGGUACUGACCAGAGCUGCUGCCCUUUGGAGCCAUUUUAAAGGCUGUCCUUGCUGGAGCACCCUGGUCCCUGCCAUCCCCAAGCCCUGGGACACAGAGGGAGCCCUGUCCCAAGUGGCUUUGGCACCUUGGCAGGGAUGUGGCAGCAGCCCCAGAGCAGCUGGAGGAGAAAACCUCCCAGCAGAGACAGAUUGCAAUGGAGGCCAGAGUUGUGUUUGGAGCAGGGAGUGCUGGGAGCUGCAUCUGCCUGUGCUGCCACAGCCUGAGCACAGCCUGGGAAAAGGGACUGGGGGAUUUCUGGUGCCCCAGUGAGAAGAACACAAACUCAGCCAUUCAGCCUGACAGGCCCCUCCACCCAGAGCUCAGCACACAUCCUCAGAGCAGCCAGCAGGGAAGGGAGAAGAGGAUCCCUGUGGGAUGAGACUGGAGAGAGCGAGCAGAGGAGCGGCCUCGGGCUGGAGAAAGGCAAAGGGACCAACAUGGUGUCACCAGGGCACCUGUGAGGAACAGAAUGGGCACUUGGAGGCCACAUGGAGGAAGGGGAUGCACAGCUCUGUCUGCAGCACACCUCCAGUGGGACCUACCUGUGAAAGCUUUCCUUCACUUGUGCACUUGCAGCUGGAUCCCUGAAAAACUCCAAACUCCAUCCCACUGAUUUUCAGGUAUCUCUGAGGGCUACUGUCUGGGAUUUAAUACCUGUGGGGGAAGAUUGCCUUGUCUUUAAUGCUGCUGAUGGAUGAUGGCCUCAGGCUGGGGAGGGGAGGGAAGGGAUUUGGGGUGGCUGGGACAUACCUGUAGCUGUGUGGGAGCUCUGAACCGGGAAUUGCUGUGUGAGCCCCUGUGCAAACAGCCUGUGCCUCCAUUCGCAGGUAAUGCCAGCUGCUCCUUGGGGUCCUUCUGGGCUCUUGGUGCUCUGUGUGGGCUGGAGCAUUUCCACGUGCCCGCUCAGAGCAGCCC